This 253-nucleotide ribosomal RNA is filed under the name uncultured bacterium. RNAcentral's name for it is "partial 16S ribosomal RNA". It matches the Rfam family "Bacterial small subunit ribosomal RNA", at positions 524 to 776 of the family's 1533-position model. The record is from RNAcentral.
UACGGAGGGUGCGAGCGUUGUCCGGAAUCACUGGGCGUAAAGGGCGCGUAGGCGGCCCGGUAAGUAGGAGGUGAAAUCCUGCGGCUUAACCGCAGGGCUGCCUUCUAAACUGCCAGGCUUGAGCACAGUAGAGGCAGGUGGAAUUCCCGGUGUAGCGGUGGAAUGCGUAGAGAUCGGGAAGAACAUCGGUGGCGAAGGCGGCCUGCUGGGCUGUUGCUGACGCUGAGGCGCGACAGCGUGGGGAGCAAACAGG